AGCUUAAUGUGUGUAUAUUAAGUAAUUUCUGCUCAAUGGGAUACUAAAUAGCCGCAGUACCCUGACUGUGCAAAGGUAGCAUAAUAAAUUGGCUUAUAAUUGAAGUCUUGUAUGAAAGGAUGUAAUGAGUGUAACCUGUCUUUAAAGCUUUUUUAAAAACUUUCUGAGUAAGUGAAAAUUCUUACAAAAUAAUUAAAAGACGAGAAGACCCUAAAAAUUUUAAAUAAGCUUGUAUUUAUUUGCGGUUUGUUUUUUGUUGGGGCGACAUAUUUACAAAAAAACUUAAUUUUAGUAAUUUCAAAAUUAAAAGAAUUUUUUUAAUAAAAAUUAAAUUACUUUAGGGAUAACAGCAUAAUUUAAUAUUAAGCUUGUGACCUCGAUGUUGGAUUAAGGAGCAAUAAGAUCAGAAGUCUUAUUACCUGGUUCUGUUCGAACCACUACACCUUACAUG
Molecule: ribosomal RNA, 451 nt
Filed under: Zachrysia auricoma havanensis
Lineage: Eukaryota; Metazoa; Mollusca; Gastropoda; Stylommatophora; Camaenidae
Description: partial 16S ribosomal RNA
Source: RNAcentral